AUGCAGUCAGUGCCAGUGCAAACCCCAGGGGUGCAGAUGCAGAGGAAUGGCAUGUCUGCCAGCAUGUCAUGUCGACUGGGAGAGAAGAACGUUGUGCAUUGGUACAGGCAGCUUCCCGGACAGCCACCAGAGAGGAUACUGUACGAGUCUGGAGGGACACCUGUUUUUGAGGACAACAAUGAUAGAGAUAGAUUUCAAGUUCGAAAUCAUCCUUCUCAGCCUGUGUAUGAGCUUGUGAUAAAUUCUUUAACUCCGAGGGAUUCUGGCACUUAUUACUGUGCAUACUGGUACUACCACAGCAUAAGUUUGGCAAAGAUAAGCCUUACAAAAAGACUCUUUGUCCUCUGA
Melozone crissalis (California towhee) is the source of this 348-nucleotide non-coding RNA. The record is from the annotation of a RefSeq genome assembly. NCBI's taxonomy places the organism in Eukaryota, Metazoa, Chordata, Aves, Passeriformes, Passerellidae.